GGGGAAUAUUGCACAAUGGGGGAAACCCUGAUGCAGCGACGCCGCGUGGAGGAAGAAGGUCUUCGGAUUGUAAACUCCUGUUGUUGGGGAAGAUAAUGACGGUACCCAACAAGGAAGUGACGGCUAACUACGUGCCAGCAGCCGCGGUAAAACGUAGGUCACAAGCGUUGUCCGGAAUUACUGGGUGUAAAGGGAGCGCAGGCGGGAAGACAAGUUGGAAGUGAAAUCUAUGGGCUCAACCCAUAAACUGCUUUCAAAACUGUUUUUCUUGAGUAGUGCAGAGGUAGGCGGAAUUCCCGGUGUAGCGGUGGAAUGCGUAGAUAUCGGGAGGAACACCAGUGGCGAAGGCGGCCUACUGGGCACCAACUGACGCUGAGGCUCGAAAGUGUGGGUAGCAAACAGGAUUAGAUACCCUGGUAGUCCACACCGUAAACGAUGAUUACUAGGUGUUGGAGGAUUGACCCCUUCAGUGCCGCAGUUAACACAAUAAGUAAUCCACCUGGGGAGUACGACCGCAAGGUUGAAACUCAAAGGAAUUGACGGGGGCCCGCACAAGCGGUGGAGUAUGUGGUUUAAUUCGACGCAACGCGAAGAACCUUACCAGGGCUUGACAUAUACAGGAAUAUGUAAGAGAUUACAUAGCUCUUCGGAGUCUGUAUACAGGUGGUGCAUGGUUGUCGUCAGCUCGUGUCGUGAGAUGUUGGGUUAAGUCCCGCAACGAGCGCAACCCUUAUGGUCAGUUACUACGCAAGAGGACUCUGGCCAGACUGCCGUUGACAAAACGGAGGAAGGUGGGGAUGACGUCAAAUCAUCAUGCCCUUUAUGACUUGGGCUACACACGUACUACAAUGGCGUUAAACAAAGAGAAGCAAGACCGCGAGGUGGAGCAAAACUCAGAAACAACGUCCCAGUUCGGACUGCAGGCUGCAACUCGCCUGCACGAAGUCGGAAUUGCUAGUAAUCGUGGAUCAGCAUGCCACGGUGAAUACGUUCCCG
Molecule: ribosomal RNA, 996 nt
Filed under: uncultured bacterium
Lineage: Bacteria
Description: bacterial SSU rRNA
Rfam family: Bacterial small subunit ribosomal RNA
Source: RNAcentral